Molecule: non-coding RNA, 69 nt
Organism: Fukomys damarensis (Damara mole-rat)
Lineage: Eukaryota; Metazoa; Chordata; Mammalia; Rodentia; Bathyergidae
Source: Ensembl
AGGAAAUUAGGUUAACAAGACCAAGAGCCUUCAAAGCUCUAAGUAAAUAUACACAACAUUUAUUUCCUG